Non-coding RNA from Paramisgurnus dabryanus, 1042 nucleotides. NCBI's taxonomy places the organism in Eukaryota, Metazoa, Chordata, Actinopteri, Cypriniformes, Cobitidae. The record is from RefSeq and is a predicted model, not a curated record.
GUUUAUUUUAAUUAAAUAUAACUCCUAAGUUCAUAUAAACUGAAGAAAUCAGAAUUUAACUUGCAUAUAUUCAAUGAUACAGCUUGAUUGUGUGGAUUGAGCACUUUUUGAGCUUUCAUUUUGACCUGUGUGAUUAUGUAAAACCACAUGGUGCUUUGUGUUCACUGCUGUUCGCUGACGCCAUUUUGGUUGCACGUGCCUGUGAAAGACAAAAAGAGAGAGAAACACGUGAAUGGACAGCUGGAUUUUCCUAAUUGAUGGCGAGCCUCCCAUUUCGACCUGAUUGGAUCACGAAUCUAGAGGAAAGGACAAUUUUCUAUUUUAAAUAUUUUUCUUCAGACAACCAUUGCUGUAAUGUGCCAGGUGUACUUGCAAUAAUCAGAGAAAGUGCGCCAGAGUCAAAUCACACAGACAGCACAACUCCUGGCUGCAGCUGAAGGAGGACGAUUGAUUUCUGGCAGUUCGUCUUACCAUUGCUUGUAAGCUGGAUUGGGUAAGAUGGAUCAUCUUUAAAGGCACCAGGAGUUAAGGCAGAUGUGGAGGCACAACGGGUGAUACCAGACACACACCAAGCACAUUAUGUUCGGACAUUCAAUCAUGACAUGAUCCAGGUGGAUGCUGUCCAUUGAUGAAAGAAUUUGUUCCGAGGUUUCUGGAUAGAAUUAAUUCCAAAGAUGGGAAAAAGUGCACAUCCAGACAAGGAGCAAGCAAAAAGACAAGGAACUUGGUGCAGAGAAAAGCUGUGGCCAUUAACCCCCAUGUGAACAGCUUCAUGCAGUCCCUGAUUGAGUUCGAAUGGACGACUUCAAAGUAAAGGCCACUGUGGUCUGUCUGCCACAGUUUAAUUUUUAAUUUAUUUUUAGUGUUAAAUGAAAUUCAAGUAGAAUAUUUAAAACUAUGGGCCAGUGUUGUUUUUACCACAGUGAAAUGUUACCUUUUAGUCGAUGAUGGACAUUAAACUGAAAACUUCAAACUAUGGAACAGUGUUCUAUUUGCCAGAGUUAAAUAUGUUACAGCAGGGGUCUCCAAACUUGUUUAUACU